Scleropages formosus (Asian bonytongue) is the source of this 1245-nucleotide long non-coding RNA. RefSeq lists it as uncharacterized. The record is from RefSeq and is a predicted model, not a curated record. The transcript has 3 exons. Lineage: Eukaryota; Metazoa; Chordata; Actinopteri; Osteoglossiformes; Osteoglossidae.
CCGCCUAACCUCACUCACCAAUAUCCUGUCUCUCCGGCGCUGCAGGUUCCACAGAGCACGGAGAGGCAGAAGCAUUAAAGGUACACAAACACUCAUUUCCUCCGCCGCCCGGGAGAUCAUAUCGACGGCGCCUUUGUUUUAAUGCCAGAAAUAUGAAAUGUUGACAUGACUAAGCACACCGCUGCUGGGCAAUAACCCUCUGCCCUCCGACCUCCGAUCUCCUCGCCCUCCUGUUCGCCGCCUGUCCCCGACACCGAGAACUUGCCUGAUCCCCUGAAUCCAGACGAAUGACUCCGCACUUGGGUCCUGUCAUCCCGGUUCUCUCUCGGCCUCGUAUGACAUGCUCUGUUGGCACCAAUGAUCGCAGCACCCGUCCAUUCGACGUUCGUGGUCUUGAGGCCUUCUCGGAAGGUGGAACACCACGUUUCCGGCGGUCGACCCUGUCUGCGCUUCCCCUUCGGCGGCGCCCAUCGCAUCGCCACCGUUGGAAAUCAAACACAAGUAUGUGCUUAAUGUUACUUAAUGUUAAAUGAGCUGCAUCAGAUGCAUCAGAUUUAAAGCUCUUUUUUCCAACAGGUAAUUUCAACCGAGACACCUGCGAAAAAAUUUCCUCUCUGGCAUCAGUUUUUCUAACAUUACGUGCGGGACAAGUUGGCGUAGCUGAAGUACUUCCACGCUAUAAACAUUUAGAUGAUUGCAUAUCUUUACUAACUAAACGGAUUUUCUUUUCCGAGCCAAAAAUAUUUAUUUAGUGUUAAGACAAGGAUUCUGAAGCUGAACCUUAGCCAAGAAUUUUGCUUCUACUAACUCGAUUUUAAACAUAGACUGCGCCAUAAAACUCUUCACAGGCCCGCUUGUAGCGUAGCUUAGGCGUGCUCUAGCUCGGGGGGGGCUGUUCGACACGCUACCGUGCAACCCUUCCUGCGGAAAUGCUCUACGGCAAGAAACUGCUAGGUUAGGACCCCCAAGGUCGCGUUCCCUCAGCAAAGUCGUCAGGUUGACGCCGCGCAAUGACAUCGUGCUCGUCGCUAAAGGGCGGUUCGAAUGCUGAUACUUACAGGUAAACCGUAGUGUUUUCCUGCAGGUGCUGCAAGGGUCUCCACGUUGCACAUUUCAUUCUACCCCUGUGGGUGUUAGCCUGGCUGUUGGCCAUCACAUCUAAGCAAAAUGUCUUGGUUAAUCUCCUACAGCUCCUCCCUUUUCAGUUGUUAGAACUGUGCCGCUUACCGUUGACCAUUUACACUC